This 496-nucleotide ribosomal RNA is filed under the name uncultured bacterium. RNAcentral describes it as "partial 16S ribosomal RNA". It matches the Rfam family "Bacterial small subunit ribosomal RNA", at positions 29 to 507 of the family's 1533-position model. The record is from RNAcentral.
AUGAACGCUGGCGGCGUGCCUCAUACAUUCAAGUCGAGCGAACAGACGAGGAGCUUGCUCCUCUGACGUUAGCGGCGGACGGGUGAGUAACACGUGGAUAACCUACCUAUAAGACUGGGAUAACUUCGGGAAACCGGAGCUAAUACCGGAUAAUAUAUUGAACCGCCUGGUUCAAUAGUGAAAGACGGUUUUGCUGUCACUUAUAGAUGGAUCCGCGCCGCAUUAGCUAGUUGGUAAGGUAACGGCUUACCAAGGCAACGAUGCGUAGCCGACCUGAGAGGGUGAUCGGCCACACUGGAACUGAGACACGGUCCAGACUCCUACGGGAGGCAGCAGUAGGGAAUCUUCCGCAAUGGGCGAAAGCCUGACGGAGCAACGCCGCGUGAGUGAUGAAGGUCUUCGGAUCGUAAAACUCUGUUAUUAGGGAAGAACAAAUGUGUAAGUAACUAUGCACGUCUUGACGGUACCUAAUCAGAAAGCCACGGCUAACUACGUG